GAAAUGCAGCAUGCUGCUCGACACGAUUAUCGCAUUAUUAACAACUAAGGCUGCUUGUUGAAUGACGAUUCAACCUGAUCUUCGCUGUACGUAUCGUACAACAAUCUACACGAGUUGUUGGCGAAUGCCUAGCUCUGCAACGUUGUAACUAACUGCUAACGUAAAAGUGAACCAGGAAUUUCAUAUCUACACUAUUCAGAUAUGAGCGGAGCAUUUAAUACAAAUAAACCGUAGAUAACAGUGGAAAACACAAAUAAUGGAUACGUAGAGCUAUAUGUAUAAAUAUGUAUAAGCCGACUGGAAUAAUCACCAUAAUUUAUACAUCUCUGGUGAAACAUUUUUACCAUCAAAAUUUCUCAGCGUAACUUUGGAAAGUCUAUUUUUAGUACAAGUUUAUGAAUUGAGGAACCAGAAUCAGAAUCUACGGAGAAAAAUCUCUUUGUUGUUCAAACAGUUAAAAUAAUUUGAUAAGAAUAAUGAUCUUUACGGAAAUCUGAUGGCAAAAAAAACUUUCACCAGGGAAAAGCUACAUCAGUUUAUUUCUUUUACGCAUUAUAUGUCUGAACAGAAAAUGUGUAACAAAAAAUACUUGUGGGAUGAAAUAAAAUUAUACCAGGUGUAUGUCAUGUGGUAAAACGAAUAAAUAUCGUAUAAACUUAAAUUAAAUAAACAGUGUGAAU
Neodiprion fabricii is the source of this 680-nucleotide long non-coding RNA. RefSeq lists it as uncharacterized. Lineage: Eukaryota; Metazoa; Arthropoda; Insecta; Hymenoptera; Diprionidae. The transcript has 4 exons. The record is from RefSeq and is a predicted model, not a curated record.